This 416-nucleotide ribosomal RNA is filed under the name uncultured bacterium. RNAcentral describes it as "bacterial SSU rRNA". It matches the Rfam family "Bacterial small subunit ribosomal RNA", at positions 917 to 1333 of the family's 1533-position model. The record is from RNAcentral.
GGGCCCGCACAAGCGGUGGAGUAUGUGGUUUAAUUCGAUGCAACGCGAAGAACCUUACCAGGGUUUGACAUCCUGCGAAUCUCUUGGAAACUUGAGAGUGCCUUCGGGAGCGCAGUGACAGGUGGUGCAUGGCUGUCGUCAGCUCGUGUCGUGAGAUGUUGGGUUAAGUCCUAUAACGAGCGCAACCCCUGCCGUUAGUUGCCAGCAUGUAAUGAUGGGAACUCUAACGGGACUGCCGGUGCAAACCGUGAGGAAGGUGGGGAUGACGUCAAAUCAUCACGGCCCUUACGUCCUGGGCUACACACGUGCUACAAUGGCCGGUACAGAGAGCAGCCACUACGCGAGUAGGCGCGAAUCUUCAAAGCCGGUCUCAGUUCGGAUCGGAGUCUGCAACUCGACUCCGUGAAGCUGGAAUC